Long non-coding RNA from Gopherus evgoodei (Goodes thornscrub tortoise), 325 nucleotides. RefSeq lists it as uncharacterized. The record is from RefSeq and is a predicted model, not a curated record. Lineage: Eukaryota; Metazoa; Chordata; Testudines; Testudinidae. The transcript has 3 exons.
ACAUUCCAGAUGCCGCGCUAGAAGCUUUAAAUUUUGAACAAGAUGGAAGUCAAAACCACCCAAUAGGUUUUCCUGAAAUUACAGACGAAGACUUAUCAAGCGUUAUUCCUCAAGAAGAAAUGUUGAAGGGGAGAGCACUUAAAGGGGCCAAGAAAUUUCCCUCUGAGGCAGCUGCAGUUGGAAGCAAGGGUAUUAAGCACACCGAUUUUGAACAGCCCUGCACGUCCAAAUCCCUUAUUGAACAAAACCAGCCGGCAUUAAAAAAGGCCAAAAAGUCUACCUCUAAAACAGCAUCCGUUUUCAGGGCGGGGGGAAAGGAGCUCAG